AGUGAACGCUGGCGGUAGGCCUAACACAUGCAAGUCGAACGGCAGCACAGGAGAGCUUGCUCUCUGGGUGGCGAGUGGCGGACGGGUGAGGAAUACAUCGGAAUCUACUUUUUCGUGGGGGAUAACGUAGGGAAACUUACGCUAAUACCGCAUACGACCUACGGGUGAAAGCAGGGGAUCUUCGGACCUUGCGCGAUUGA
RNAcentral lists this ribosomal RNA (200 nucleotides) under uncultured bacterium. RNAcentral describes it as "partial 16S ribosomal RNA". It matches the Rfam family "Bacterial small subunit ribosomal RNA", at positions 29 to 224 of the family's 1533-position model. The record is from RNAcentral.